AUAUUUCUGCCACCGGGUAGAAAAAUGCAAAGGCAUUCCCUGUACAUCGUCAGGUCUUAGAAGAUGUACAGCGAGUGCCUUUUUUGAG
This 88-nucleotide non-coding RNA is filed under the name unclassified sequences. The record is from RNAcentral.